UACGUAGGGGGCAAGCGUUGUCCGGAGUUACUGGGCGUAAAGACGCACGCAGGCGGUCUCUUAAGUUUGGAAGUGACAGUUGGUGGCUUAACUGCCAAAGUGCUUCGAAAACUGAGAGACUUGAGGGCUUCAGAGGGACACGGAAUUCCGGGUGGAGUGGUGAAAUGACGUAGAUAUUCGGAAGAACACCAGUGGCGAAGGCGACUCACUGGCCCGAUACUGACGCUGAGGCGCGAAAGCGUGGGAGCAAACAGG
RNAcentral lists this ribosomal RNA (255 nucleotides) under uncultured bacterium. RNAcentral's name for it is "partial 16S ribosomal RNA". It matches the Rfam family "Bacterial small subunit ribosomal RNA", at positions 524 to 776 of the family's 1533-position model. The record is from RNAcentral.